RNAcentral lists this ribosomal RNA (253 nucleotides) under uncultured bacterium. RNAcentral describes it as "partial 16S ribosomal RNA". It matches the Rfam family "Bacterial small subunit ribosomal RNA", at positions 524 to 776 of the family's 1533-position model. The record is from RNAcentral.
AACGUAGGAGACGAACGUUAUCCGGAGUUACUGGGCGUAAAGGGCGUGCAGGCGGCUUGAUAAGUUCGGCGUGAAAUUUUUCGGCUUAACCGGGGGAUGUCGUCGGAGACUGUCGAGCUAGAGGGCGAUAGAGGCGGGUGGAAUUCCGGGUGUAGUGGUGAAAUGCGUAGAGAUCCGGAGGAACACCAGUGGCGAAGGCGACCCGCUGGGUCGCACCUGACGCUAAGACGCGACAGCAUGGGGAGCGAACGGG